CGAGCCGAGCGGGCGGUCGCGUCGGAACCCCUUGGGGUUCCGCCGAGGAACGUCCGGGCUCCACAGGGCAAGGUGGUGGGUAACGCCCACCCGGGGUGACCCGCGGGACAGUGCCACAGAAAACAGACCGCCGGGAGCCGAAAGGCACCUGGUAAGGGUGAAACGGUGGUGUAAGAGACCACCAGCGUCCAGGGUGACCUGGACGGCUAGGUAAACCCCACCUGGAGCAAGGUCAAGAUGGAGCCGCCGCCAGGCGGCUCUGCGCGGAUGUUCGAGGGCGGCCCGCCCGAGUCCGCGGGUAGACCGCACGAGGCCGACGGCAACGCCGGCCCUAGAUGGAUGACCGCCUCCCGGCGGGCCGCGAGGCCCACCGGAGACAGAACCCGGCGUACAGCUCGACUCGUCUG
This 407-nucleotide RNase P RNA is filed under the name Streptantibioticus ferralitis. RNAcentral's name for it is "RNase P RNA component class A". It matches the Rfam family "Bacterial RNase P class A". Rfam says of the family: Ribonuclease P (RNase P) is a ubiquitous endoribonuclease, found in archaea, bacteria and eukarya as well as chloroplasts and mitochondria. Its best characterised activity is the generation of mature 5'-ends of tRNAs by cleaving the 5'-leader elements of precursor-tRNAs. Cellular RNase Ps are ribonucleoproteins. Lineage: Bacteria; Bacillati; Actinomycetota; Actinomycetes; Kitasatosporales; Streptomycetaceae. The record is from RNAcentral.